UAAACCAGGUUUUCCGAAGGAAAAAACUGGUUAUUAGAUUGGCGAAUGCGGGCGGGCUGGCUGGCGGGCUGGCGGGCUGGCUGGCGGGCUGGCGGAAUAAGCUUGUCCGGGCCAUAACUAUGUCGUUCAUUGUCAGAUUUUAAAAUCAUUUGGCACAUUUGUUCACCAUCAUUGGACGGUGUGUCGCGCGAAAUAAUUACGUCGAUAUCUCCAAGGUCAAGGUCACACUUUGAGUUCAAAGGUCAAAAAUGGCCAUAAAUGAGCUUGUCCUGGCCAUAACUAUGUCAUUCAUUGUGAGAUUUUAAAAUCAUUUGGCACAUUUGUUCACCAUCAUGGGACGGUGUGUCCCACGAAAGAAUCACGUCAAUAUCUCCAAUGUCAAGGUCGCCACGACUAAAAAUAGAUUUAAAAAAAAAAAAAAAAAACUUACAAAGGGGGUUAAUUUUUUUUGGUCAUUUCAAAAGUU
Dreissena polymorpha is the source of this 466-nucleotide long non-coding RNA. RefSeq lists it as uncharacterized. The transcript has 2 exons. The record is from RefSeq and is a predicted model, not a curated record. NCBI's taxonomy places the organism in Eukaryota, Metazoa, Mollusca, Bivalvia, Myida, Dreissenidae.